RNAcentral lists this ribosomal RNA (520 nucleotides) under uncultured bacterium. Its description in RNAcentral is "partial 16S ribosomal RNA". It matches the Rfam family "Bacterial small subunit ribosomal RNA", at positions 355 to 895 of the family's 1533-position model. The record is from RNAcentral.
UGGGGAAUAUUGGACAAUGGGCGCAAGCCUGAUCCAGCCAUGCCGCGUGAGUGAUGAAGGCCCUAGGGUUGUAAAGCUCUUUCACCGGUGAAGAUAAUGACGGUAACCGGAGAAGAAGCCCCCGGCUAACUUCGUGCCAGCAGCCGCGGUAAUACGAAGGGGGCUAGCGUUGUUCGGAUUUACUGGGCGUAAAGCGCACGUAGGCGGACUUUUAAGUCAGGGGUGAAAUCCCGGGGCUCAACCCCGGAACUGCCUUUGAUACUGGAAGUCUUGAGUAUGGUAGAGGUGAGUGGAAUUCCGAGUGUAGAGGUGAAAUCGUAGAUAUUCGGAGGAACACCAGUGGCGAAGGCGGCUCACUGGACCAUUACUGACGCUGAGGUGCGAAAGCGUGGGGAGCAAACAGCAUUAGAUACCCUGGUAGUCCACGCGUAACGAUGAAUGUUAGCCGUUGGGGAGUUUACUCUUCGGUGGCGCAGCUAACGCAUUAAACAUUCCGCCUGGGGAGUACGGUCGCAAGAUU